This 99-nucleotide non-coding RNA is filed under the name Alistipes sp. RNAcentral describes it as "TPP sequence". It matches the Rfam family "TPP riboswitch aptamer (THI element)". Rfam says of the family: Vitamin B(1) in its active form thiamin pyrophosphate (TPP) is an essential coenzyme that is synthesised by coupling of pyrimidine and thiazole moieties in bacteria. The previously detected thiamin-regulatory element, thi box was extended, resulting in a new, highly conserved RNA secondary structure, the THI element, which is widely distributed in eubacteria and also occurs in some archaea. The record is from RNAcentral. Lineage: Bacteria; Pseudomonadati; Bacteroidota; Bacteroidia; Bacteroidales; Rikenellaceae.
CUAUAACAGCGGGGGUACUGGGCGUGUCGCCCGGUUGAGAUCAUACCCAAUGAACCUGAUGCGGAUAAUGCCGCCGAAGGGAAGCGAUGUCUCAGAUUG